Molecule: transfer RNA, 91 nt
Organism: Moniliophthora roreri MCA 2997
Lineage: Eukaryota; Fungi; Basidiomycota; Agaricomycetes; Agaricales; Marasmiaceae
Rfam family: tRNA
About the family: Transfer RNA (tRNA) molecules are approximately 80 nucleotides in length. Their secondary structure includes four short double-helical elements and three loops (D, anti-codon, and T loops).
Source: Rfam
GGGGGUAUAGCUCAGCUGGGAGAGCAGCAGACUGAAGUGACAGAAAAAUGAGUCAUUCUGAAGGUCCCGCGUUCGAUCCGCGGUACCCCCA